GUUAUCGUUUAUUUGAUAGUACCUUACUACAUAGAUAACCGUGGUAAUUCUAGAGCUAAUACAUGCUAAAAACCUCGACUUCGGAAGGGGUGUAUUUAUUAGAUAAAAAACCAAUGCCCUUCGGGGCUCCCUGGUGAUUCAUAAUAACUUAACGAAUCGCAUGGCCUUGUGCCGGCGAUGGUUCAUUCAAAUUUCUGCCCUAUCAACUUUCGAUGGUAGGAUAGUGGCCUACCAUGGUUUCAACGGGUAACGGGGAAUUAGGGUUCUAUUCCGGAGAAGGAGCCUGAGAAACGGCUACUACAUCCAAGGAAGGCAGCAGGCGCGCAAAUUACCCAAUCCCGACACGGGGAGGUAGUGACAAUAAAUACUGAUACAGGGCUCUUUUGAGUCUUGUAAUUGGAAUGAGUACAAUUUAAAUACCUUAACGAGGAACAAUUGGAGGGCAAGUCUGGUGCCAGCAGCCGCGGUAAUUCCAGCUCCAAUAGCGUAUAUUAAAGUUGUUGCAGUUAAAAAGCUCGUAGUUGAACCUUGG
This 532-nucleotide ribosomal RNA is filed under the name uncultured fungus. RNAcentral describes it as "SSU rRNA". It matches the Rfam family "Eukaryotic small subunit ribosomal RNA", at positions 109 to 644 of the family's 1831-position model. The record is from RNAcentral. Lineage: Eukaryota; Fungi.